This is a long non-coding RNA of Hemicordylus capensis (graceful crag lizard), 751 nucleotides long. RefSeq lists it as uncharacterized. The record is from RefSeq and is a predicted model, not a curated record. The transcript is spliced from 4 exons. Lineage: Eukaryota; Metazoa; Chordata; Lepidosauria; Squamata; Cordylidae.
AUGAGAGAGCGCUGCUGCGUACAUAAGGAAUAAGACAAGACAUUUACGUCCCCGGAUCCAAUCUGAGCAAACUCCACCUGGGUUGGUGGCCCUGCAUGUCCUCGUUCAAAAGGGAACGCAACAACACUCUGCGCCCCAGCAAAGACCUCCCCAAACACACACUUCUUUUUUUUUUUAAAGCGAACCUGACCAGGCGACCGUUGAGUGCGCGCGAUGGCCACUCGUUCUUUUCCUCCACAAGCUUCUCUCUCACUUCAGGUAGAUCGCCGCGAGAGAGAAAGCGCGACAAUACCAACUUUCUGAAGCCGUUGGCUAUGUGUUGGUUUCCCCCGCUAUUGGUUUUCUCCCCCUCACGCCCACUGGGCUUCUCGCUCGUUCGAAAUUCUCCGCUGCGCAUCCUGAUUGGUCGCCAGGGUCAGCUGACAGGGGUCGUUUAACGUCACCACGUAUUGAACUCUUCUCUCCCCACCCGCUUUCUGUGCCUGAGCGAAAAAAGCUUGGAAAGUGUCCGAAACCUGGUGAUGUGUUAAAACACAUAAGAGGUGGGAAUGCAAGAGAGUGCUUAAAGACUGAAGAAUGGUAACACUUGAACAGAGGUGCACCUAGAGCUUGAACUUCAUGUGGUGGUUCAUCCAGAAGAGCACUUUGGAUCAUCAACCACAAAGGAUGGAGGACACUUCAUGUAACAGAAGACAGGAAGAAUAGAAAUAAAUCAACUGUAGUCUGAUAUUAAACUAUGCAACAAACUGUU